AUUGGGCAACACAUACGACUCAAAACAUCACGAGAUGAGUUCGUAUCAAAUUAGUAUCAGAGCUAGCGAAUUUGGAGUAAGAAUCGACGUUGUCGGCAUUACGGUAUAGUAGUUUCUCGAAAAAAAACUCGAAAAAAAAUUCAAAAAAAAAUUGUGAAAAAAAAAGAGCUAGUUUUGAAAUUUAGUUUUUGUUUGCUGCCCAAAUUUUAGUCAUUAUUACCUUCUAGUAUUUCGCCACACCCAACCUUUUCAUUUCUUUGUUUCAAGCCUACCUUCCUUUGUCCUAUAAUAAUCUUACCAAGCCCAAACAUCAAGUUUGUAAGCC
RNAcentral lists this long non-coding RNA (325 nucleotides) under Gossypium raimondii (Peruvian cotton). Its description in RNAcentral is "long non-coding RNA (GRAI_LNC007413)". Lineage: Eukaryota; Viridiplantae; Streptophyta; Magnoliopsida; Malvales; Malvaceae. The record is from RNAcentral.